Long non-coding RNA from Cyphomyrmex costatus, 326 nucleotides. RefSeq lists it as uncharacterized. The record is from RefSeq and is a predicted model, not a curated record. NCBI's taxonomy places the organism in Eukaryota, Metazoa, Arthropoda, Insecta, Hymenoptera, Formicidae. The transcript is spliced from 3 exons.
GUAUAUAUCUGUUACUUACAUGAUUUAAAAUCAUGUUUUUAAAUUAAUAAAGAACUUUCAGCCUGAACUAUAAAGCAUCGCCUAAGAGCAAUAUACAGCACUCAUUUAAUUUAAACUGGAUAGUAUGAAUACUUUAAAGUUAAUAGCCAUUGUUGCGAUAAUUGCAACGUUGAUGACAAUCAUAGUUACCGGGAAACCUCUACUCCCUACGAUACUAUCAUUACUAGGAGGUAAAAAAUAAAAAGUAGGAAGUAAAUUGGUAAAAAGUAAAGUAUGAUCAAAUAAAGCUGGAUAUUGGAACACGAUUGAUAAUGAAAUUGUAAAAU